This 440-nucleotide ribosomal RNA is filed under the name uncultured bacterium. RNAcentral's name for it is "partial 16S ribosomal RNA". It matches the Rfam family "Bacterial small subunit ribosomal RNA", at positions 338 to 795 of the family's 1533-position model. The record is from RNAcentral.
CCUACGGGUGGCAGCAGUGGGGAAUAUUGCACAAUGGGGGAAACCCUGAUGCAGCGACGCCGCGUGAAGGAAGAAGUCUUUCGGUAUGUAAACUUCUAUCAGCAGGGAAGAAAAUGACGGUACCUGACUAAGACGCCCCGGCUAACUACGUGCCAGCAGCCGCGGUAAUACGUCGGGGGCAAGCGUUAUCCGGAUUUACUGGGCGUAAAGGGAGCGUAGGCGGUUUAGCAAGUCAGAAGUGAAAGCCCGGGGCUCAACGCCGGGACUGCUUUUGAAACUGUUGAAAUAGAGUGCAGGAGAGGUAAGUGGAAUUCCUGGUGUAGCGGUGAAAUGCGUAGAGAUUAGGAGGAACACCAGUGGCGAAGGCGGCUUACUGGACUAUAAAUGACGCUGAGGCUCGAAAGCGUGGGGAGCAAACAGGAUUAGAUACCCUGGUAGUC